Molecule: ribosomal RNA, 2395 nt
Filed under: Salmonella enterica subsp. enterica serovar Enteritidis
Lineage: Bacteria; Pseudomonadati; Pseudomonadota; Gammaproteobacteria; Enterobacterales; Enterobacteriaceae
Description: partial 23S ribosomal RNA
Rfam family: Bacterial large subunit ribosomal RNA
Source: RNAcentral
ACGUACAAGCAGUGGGAGCCCCACCACCAAAGCAUUUGCUGUACCGCGUUGACGGAGCGAAGCGACGUCAAACCGAUAAAACAGCAGUGUAAAGUGAGCCGCAGGGCGCUUUGCGCGACAGCGCAAAGGCAGGCGGUUUCGCGUAGCGAAAGCGAAUGCUUUGGGGUGGGGUGACUGCGUACCUUUUGUAUAAUGGGUCAGCGACUUAUAUUCUGUAGCAAGGUUAACCGAAUAGGGGAGCCGGAGGGAAACCGAGUCUUAAUUGGGCGUUAAGUUGCAGGGUAUAGACCCGAAACCCGGUGAUCUAGCCAUGGGCAGGUUGAAGGGUGGGUAACACUAACUGGAGGACCGAACCGACUAAUGUUGAAAAAUUAGCGGAUGACCUGUGGCUGGGGGUGAAAGGCCAAUCAAACCGGGAGAUAGCUGGUUCUCCCCGAAAGCUAUUUAGGUAGCGCCUCGUGAAUUCAUCUCCGGGGGUAGAGCACUGUUUCGGCUAGGGGGCCAUCCCGGCUUACCAACCCGAUGCAAACUGCGAAUACCGGAGAAUGUUAUCACGGGAGACACACGGCGGGUGCUAACGUCCGUCGUGAAGAGGGAAACAACCCAGACCGCCAGCUAAGGUCCCAAAGUCAUGGUUAAGUGGGAAACGAUGUGGGAAGGCCCAGACAGCCAGGAUGUUGGCUUAGAAGCAGCCAUCAUUUAAAGAAAGCGUAAUAGCUCACUGGUCGAGUCGGCCUGCGCGGAAGAUGUAACGGGGCUAAACCAUGCACCGAAGCUGCGGCAGCGACACUGUGUGUUGUUGGGUAGGGGAGCGUUCUGUAAGCCUGUGAAGGUGUGUCGUGAGGCAUGCUGGAGGUAUCAGAAGUGCGAAUGCUGACAUAAGUAACGAUAAAGCGGGUGAAAAGCCCGCUCGCCGGAAGACCAAGGGUUCCUGUCCAACGUUAAUCGGGGCAGGGUGAGUCGACCCCUAAGGCGAGGCCGAAAGGCGUAGUCGAUGGGAAACGGGUUAAUAUUCCCGUACUUGGUGUUACUGCGAAGGGGGGACGGAGAAGGCUAUGUUGGCCGGGCGACGGUUGUCCCGGUUUAAGCGUGUAGGUGUGUGUUCCAGGUAAAUCCGGUUCACUUUAACACUGAGGCGUGACGACGAGGCACUACGGUGCUGAAGCAACAAAUGCCCUGCUUCCAGGAAAAGCCUCUAAGCAUCAGGUAACAUCAAAUCGUACCCCAAACCGACACAGGUGGUCAGGUAGAGAAUACCAAGGCGCUUGAGAGAACUCGGGUGAAGGAACUAGGCAAAAUGGUGCCGUAACUUCGGGAGAAGGCACGCUGACACGUAGGUGAAGUGAUUUACUCAUGGAGCUGAAGUCAGUCGAAGAUACCAGCUGGCUGCAACUGUUUAUUAAAAACACAGCACUGUGCAAACACGAAAGUGGACGUAUACGGUGUGACGCCUGCCCGGUGCCGGAAGGUUAAUUGAUGGGGUCAGCGCAAGCGAAGCUCCUGAUCGAAGCCCCGGUAAACGGCGGCCGUAACUAUAACGGUCCUAAGGUAGCGAAAUUCCUUGUCGGGUAAGUUCCGACCUGCACGAAUGGCGUAAUGAUGGCCAGGCUGUCUCCACCCGAGACUCAGUGAAAUUGAACUCGCUGUGAAGAUGCAGUGUACCCGCGGCAAGACGGAAAGACCCCGUGAACCUUUACUAUAGCUUGACACUGAACAUUGAGCCUUGAUGUGUAGGAUAGGUGGGAGGCUUUGAAGUGUGGACGCCAGUCUGCAUGGAGCCGACCUUGAAAUACCACCCUUUAAUGUUUGAUGUUCUAACGUGGACCCGUUACCCGGGUUGCGGACAGUGUCUGGUGGGUAGUUUGACUGGGGCGGUCUCCUCCUAAAGAGUAACGGAGGAGCACGAAGGUUGGCUAAUCCUGGUCGGACAUCAGGAGGUUAGUGCAAUGGCAUAAGCCAGCUUGACUGCGAGCGUGACGGCGCGAGCAGGUGCGAAAGCAGGUCAUAGUGAUCCGGUGGUUCUGAAUGGAAGGGCCAUCGCUCAACGGAUAAAAGGUACUCCGGGGAUAACAGGCUGAUACCGCCCAAGAGUUCAUAUCGACGGCGGUGUUUGGCACCUCGAUGUCGGCUCAUCACAUCCUGGGGCUGAAGUAGGUCCCAAGGGUAUGGCUGUUCGCCAUUUAAAGUGGUACGCGAGCUGGGUUUAGAACGUCGUGAGACAGUUCGGUCCCUAUCUGCCGUGGGCGCUGGAGAACUGAGGGGGGCUGCUCCUAGUACGAGAGGACCGGAGUGGACGCAUCACUGGUGUUCGGGUUGUCAUGCCAAUGGCACUGCCCGGUAGCUAAAUGCGGAAGAGAUAAGUGCUGAAAGCAUCUAAGCACGAAACUUGCCCCGA